UGGGGAAUAUUGCGCAAUGGGGGAACCCUGACGCAGCCAUGCCGCGUGAAUGAAGAAGGCCUUAGGGUUGUAAAGUUCUUUCGGUAUUGAGGAAGGUUGAUGUGUUAAUAGCACAUCAAAUUGACGUUAAAUACAGAAGAAGCACCGGCUAACUCCGUGCCAGCAGCCGCGGUAAUACGGAGGGUGCGAGCGUUAAUCGGAAUAACUGGGCGUAAAGGGCACGCAGGCGGUUAUUUAAGUGAGGUGUGAAAGCCCCGGGCUUAACCUGGGAAUUGCAUUUCAGACUGGGUAACUAGAGUACUUUAGGGAGGGGUAGAAUUCCACGUGUAGCGGUGAAAUGCGUAGAGAUGUGGAGGAAUACCGAAGGCGAAGGCAGCCCCUUGGGAAUGUACUGACGCUCAUGUGCGAAAGCGUGGGGAGCAAACAGGAUUAGAUACCCUGGUAGUCCACGCUGUAAACGCUGUCGAUUUGGGGGUUGGGGUUUAACUCUGGCGCCCGUAGCUAACGUGAUAAAUCGACCGCCUGGGGAGUACGGCCGCAAGGUU
Molecule: ribosomal RNA, 545 nt
Filed under: uncultured bacterium
Lineage: Bacteria
Description: bacterial SSU rRNA
Rfam family: Bacterial small subunit ribosomal RNA
Source: RNAcentral